GACGGAGGAUGCAAGUGUUAUCCGGAAUCACUGGGCGUAAAGCGUCUGUAGGUGGUUUAAAAAGUCCACUGUUAAAGGUUGAAGCUUAACUUCAAAAAUGCCGUGGAAACUUUUAAACUUGAGUAUGGUAGGGGUAGAGGGAAUUUCCAGUGGAGCGGUGAAAUGCGUAGAUAUUGGAAAGACCACCGAUGGCGAAGGCACUCUACUGGGCCAUUACUGACACUGAGAGACGAAAGCUAGGGGAGCAAAUGGG
This 253-nucleotide ribosomal RNA is filed under the name uncultured bacterium. Its description in RNAcentral is "partial 16S ribosomal RNA". It matches the Rfam family "Bacterial small subunit ribosomal RNA", at positions 524 to 776 of the family's 1533-position model. The record is from RNAcentral.